Molecule: ribosomal RNA, 278 nt
Filed under: uncultured bacterium
Lineage: Bacteria
Description: partial 16S ribosomal RNA
Rfam family: Bacterial small subunit ribosomal RNA
Source: RNAcentral
AACGAACGCUGGCGGCAGGCUUAACACAUGCAAGUCGAGCGCUCACUUUUGUGGGAGCGGCAGACGGGUGAGUAACGCGUGGGAACAUACCUAGUAGUACGGAAUAACAGUUGGAAACGACUGCUAAUACCGUAUACGCCCUUAGGGGGAAAGAUUUAUCGCUAUUAGAUUGGCCCGCGUUGGAUUAGUUUGUUGGUGGGGUAAUGGCCUACCAAGACUACGAUCUAUAGCUGGUCUGAGAGGAUGAUCAGCCACACUGGGACUGAGACACGGCCCAG